AUGCUGCGCUACCUAUCACUUGUUUACCAUGCCUCCAAAGUUGCCAUGUUAGCCUCUAACCUUUUCACCCUUCCUAGCAAACCAUUGUCUGCUAUGUUACCGCUUUGCUCAGCCCCUCUUAUAGCGUUGUUAGUUGCAGGUGAAGUUGAAGAUUGCUCCAUGAUGGACAGGAUUAUAUUGGGAUAUCACAAUAUCUCUUAUAUUAUUAAUGCAUCUAUAUAUUUGGUAAAGGGUGGAAGACUCGGCCUUUUGCCUGGUGUUUUGUUCCACUCUUGCCGCCCUAGUUUCCAUCAUACCGGUGUUAUGUUCCCGGAUUUUGCGUUCCUUACAUGGUUGGGUGAUUUAUGGGACCCCCUUGACAGUUCACUUUGA
This 372-nucleotide ribosomal RNA is filed under the name Triticum aestivum (bread wheat). RNAcentral's name for it is "partial small subunit ribosomal RNA". Lineage: Eukaryota; Viridiplantae; Streptophyta; Magnoliopsida; Poales; Poaceae. The record is from RNAcentral.